Molecule: long non-coding RNA, 633 nt
Filed under: Rosa chinensis
Lineage: Eukaryota; Viridiplantae; Streptophyta; Magnoliopsida; Rosales; Rosaceae
Description: sRNA RchiOBHm_Chr6g0273351
Source: RNAcentral
GUACGAAACAACAAAGAUCUAAGAACCCACAGUGCUCAUAACUUAACAACCCAAAAAGCAAAGACCUUUACCCGAAUUCGAAUCCCCGGACGUCCCAGGCUCCGACCCAUAAGCCGAAACGGGUCUCUAAGCUUCGAUAAUGGAAGGCAGCAUGUUCUUGAGCUGCUCUGGUACAGUGGCUCGGUACUCUUGAAUCUUCACUGCUAUUUCGGUGACUUGGCACUCCAACUUGUCCAGCUCGUCGGCGUCGGGGCUAGAGGUCAUGUGAGGAGGGAUGAGGAUAUUGGCCCAGUAGUCGGCCCAUCUUGGGUCGUUCUCGUAGUCGUAAGCCGCCACCGCUAUCUUAUUCAGCUUCUGUGGGUCGUACGUUUUCAGCGACGAUCGGACUUUGUACAAGGGGAGUAGGAGUUCUCGGCGACUAGCUUCUCGAGGUCGGAGAUGGAGGCAGAGAUUUGGUCGAGGAAGGGUUUGAGGUGAGUGGGAUCGGUGAGUCCACUUGGGAGUUGACGGAGGACUUGGAGAUGGGGAAGCAGGAGAGGAAGGCAGAGGUGGACUCGAAGGAAGGGGAGGAGUCGGAGGAGUUGGCGGGGGCGAGGCGCGUGAGGGAGGUGUCGAGAGAGAGAGAGAGAUAGA